CGCCCACAGAUCAGAUUUUCUUGUCCAAUGUUUACCUUAAUUCUCAAUGUUAUUAGUUUAUUUUUCUUUCUAUUGUGAUUAAUAUUUAGAAUAAUUUAAUUCCAAUGGUUAAAUUUAAUUGCUAAUCAUCAACUAUCUUAAUCUUGGAAUGGAAACCGUGAGAAACCAGAAGACAAUUUUAUUUAUUUCUCUCUGUACUGUUGAUCUUCACACCUUGAGGUUUGGGUGUGACAAUCUUUAAGUGUUAAGAUUAAUGGAGAUCAUGUUUAUCUUGAUUUCUUUUUCUUUCCUCAUUUAAUCUGAUUAUAAAAAUUUGAUUCUUUCAUCAGCUCACGUUAAUCUAAUUAAAAAAUUAGUAAAUCAAUAAACCUAUUGAAAGUGAAUCAAAAUUCAUCUCAUCAAUCAUGAUAAUCAAGCCCAUUAAAAGAAUCGAGUACAAGUUCCGUUAACAAAGGAGACCUUUUAAUCAAAAUGGUUAAACAGAUUCACUUAUUAUCCAAAGUAAUCAAUGUCAUCGGGAUUAUCCAAUGGUAAUAAUUCAGAUUGGCUCCUAAUCGCCAUUAAAACUGCAACGUUACAUUCAAUUGAUUUGGACACCAAGUUAAAGAUAAACUCUCACUAUGGGUUCUCAUCAUCAUCUCCAUCUUCCUCAUCAUCAGCUUUCUCUCAUCCUCUAUAAAUUUAAUUUUAUAGAUCAUUAGUUAUCUAUCAUAAUCAUCAUCAUCUUAUUAGCAAGAGAUAUCCUAAUGAUAAAACGUUGAUUGUUAGUUAAUUCACAAUUGAAGUUAUACCAUUUUUAUGGUCACCAUUUGAAAUUACAAUUUCAUAUGGUUGCAAAGGUUAAGGACAUAAAUUGUUUUACUUUUAGUAGUUAACAAUUUACCUUUUCAUACAAAUCAAAACACAGUGGGUCAUGAUUAUUAUGUUGAUGAUUAAGAUGAUGGUGAUGAGGAUGAUAGCCACUGAUGAUUGGAAGAUGAUGAUGACAAGAAAUUUUGUUUUCUAUUUACAAAGCAGUGAUACACCUUUGAAUUUAAAUGGACAAUUAAACAACAAUUGGAUUCAUUUCCUUUGGACAGAUGAGAAACAUUGGUUGACAAUCAAUUUAGAUAAAAAUUGACCAAUAAUUAACAAUAGUUGUUUAAGGAGAGAUGAAACCAAUUCAUUCAAACAUUUGAAUUAUAUUGAAAUUUUGCUAAUUAUAAUGUACUUGUUUCAUUUAAUUCUUGGCUGAUUGUUGGUUAUCAUAAUCUAAUGUUCACCUUAAAUCAUUUUAGAUCAUAACAAUUAUCUUAAUUUCAACCUUCACAAUCUCAUCUAAUAUAAAGGUAAGUACGAAAAUUUCAUUUUACCCACAUGAAAGUAAUUAACCUGAUUAACUUUAAUUAAUUACAAUUGUUUACCAUUUUCAUCUAUUAAUUGACCCACAGAUUAACCUUGUAAUUUAGAGAGAGAUGAUAAUUUAAAGCUAUUUUUGGAUAAUAGUAAUCAACUAAAUCGUCUAUGUAAUAUUACGAUACACCUACACAAUUUAGUUUCAAAAGAUAAUCAUUAAUGAUUUGUUACAAUCAAAAUAAGGUCAAAAAAUGUUAACUAUUUAUCUUCAUCUUGACCGCCCAAUAUAAUCCUCAUAGGAAGAUAUUGAAUAUCAUCAAUUUAAUGAUUAAGACACGUUUUCAUUUAUAUCUAAUUCUUAAUCCAUUCAAUUGCUUACGAUUAAGAUUAAGAUCUUUUUUUCUUCAGAUUAUCAUUUCUUUGAAAAUCUUUAUGGAAAUGGUUUCAUAAGUAAAUAAUAAUAAGCUUAUUAAUAGUUAAUUGUUGUCAGAUGUUAAAUUGUUAACAGUUAUCUACCUUAUCCUUGAUUUGAUUCCUCUUUUUAACAAUAUGUUAAUCAUGUUGGUUAACCUCUAAUCAGUUAUCAUGAAAUAUAAUCUAGAUAAAUGACUGUGUUGGAUUUAAAUUUAAUUUAGCAAUUUAAAUGACCAACGAUUAUCAGUAAAGUCUAAUUGUUUUGAAUAAUCAUGUUAAUCGGCCGACAAUUAAUGAACCAUGUUAGUUAAUUAACUAUAACCAACCUUUCAACAGUAAGAUUUCAGCUAAUUUCAAUUGAUUUACUUUUCGUAUUCACCUUCAUUAGUAUUCAACAAAUCAGCCUUGCUAAUCAUGAUUAACUCCCAGUAAUCAAUAUUGAUUGUAUUGGUAUCAAGUAAAUUUGUUAAUUGUAAGUGCAACAAGUCAUGCAUAUUGCAAUGAUUUAGUGUAUUAGUUGAUUACAAUACAAUAAUUUAAGUAAAAAGAAAGCGAUUUACGAUCCUAAGAUCUCCCAAACAAUUUACGUUAAUUGUAAAAGUUUUUUAA
Long non-coding RNA from Panonychus citri (citrus red mite), 2358 nucleotides. RefSeq lists it as uncharacterized. The transcript has 6 exons. NCBI's taxonomy places the organism in Eukaryota, Metazoa, Arthropoda, Arachnida, Trombidiformes, Tetranychidae. The record is from RefSeq and is a predicted model, not a curated record.